RNAcentral lists this ribosomal RNA (484 nucleotides) under uncultured bacterium. RNAcentral's name for it is "partial 16S ribosomal RNA". It matches the Rfam family "Bacterial small subunit ribosomal RNA", at positions 29 to 507 of the family's 1533-position model. The record is from RNAcentral.
AUUGAACGCUGGCGGCAGGCCUAACACAUGCAAGUCGAGCGGAUGAAGGGAGCUUGCUCCUGGAUUCAGCGGCGGACGGGUGAGUAAUGCCUAGGAAUCGGCCUGGUAGUGGGGGAUAACGUUCGGAAUCGGGCGCUAAUACCGCAUAAGUCCUGAGGGAGAAAGUGGGGGGGCGUCGGACCUUACGCUACCAGAUGAGCCGAGGUUGGGUUAGCUAGUCGGUGGGGGGAAGGCCUGCCAAGGCGACGAUCCGUAACUGUGCAGAGAGGAUGAGCAGUACCAGUGGAACUGGGAGACGGUCCAGACUCCUACGGGGGGAAGCAGUGGGGAAUAUUGGGCGAUGGGCGAAAGCCUGAUCCAGCCAUGCCGCGUGUGUGGAGAAAGUCUUCGGACUUUAAAGCACUUUAAGUUGGGAGGAAGGACAGUAAGUUAAGAACUAGCUGCAUUGACGUUACCAGCAGAAUAAGCACCGGCUAACUUCGUG